RNAcentral lists this ribosomal RNA (484 nucleotides) under uncultured bacterium. Its description in RNAcentral is "partial 16S ribosomal RNA". It matches the Rfam family "Bacterial small subunit ribosomal RNA", at positions 30 to 507 of the family's 1533-position model. The record is from RNAcentral.
AUUGAACGCUGGCGGCAGGCCUAACACAUGCAAGUCGAGCGGAUGAAGGGAGCUUGCUCCUGGAUUCAGCGGCGGACGGGUGAGUAAUGCCUAGGAAUCUGCCUGGUAGUGGGGGAUAACGUCCGGAAACGGGCGCUAAUACCGCAUACGUCCUGAGGGAGAAAGUGGGGGAUCUUCGGACCUCACGCUAUCAGAUGAGCCUAGGUCGGAUUAGCUAGUUGGUGGGGUAAAGGCCUACCAAGGCGACGAUCCGUAACUGGUCUGAGAGGAUGAUCAGUCACACUGGAACUGAGACACGGUCCAGACUCCUACGGGAGGCAGCAGUGGGGAAUAUUGGACAAUGGGCGAAAGCCUGAUCCAGCCGUGCCGCGUGUGUGAGGAAGGUCUUCGGAUUGUAAAGCACUUUAAGUUGGGAGGAAGGGCAGUAAGUUAAUACCUUGCUGUUUUGACGUUACCAACAGAAUAAGCACCGGCUAACUUCGUG